Long non-coding RNA from Chinchilla lanigera (long-tailed chinchilla), 2330 nucleotides. RefSeq lists it as uncharacterized. NCBI's taxonomy places the organism in Eukaryota, Metazoa, Chordata, Mammalia, Rodentia, Chinchillidae. The record is from RefSeq and is a predicted model, not a curated record. The transcript has 3 exons.
UUCUCCCUGCUGGAUUAUGUCCCCACAAAAGAUAUGUCAAAAUCACAAACCCCAACACUUCAACAAAAAGUGAUCAGAUGUGGAAACUGGGUACUUGGAGAUGUCAUUAGUUAACCCAAGGUCACAGAGUAAGAUGGGCCAUUCUCUUGUUGAUGUCCUUGCAAGAAAAGAAAAGCACCCGCAGAAACAAGGUCAUCAUGUGACAGUGAAGGCAGAGAUCAGGGGAUAGAGUUAUUAGCCUGAGGCUGUCAAGGACCUCAGCAAACACCAGAAAAGUAAAAGAGGCAAGAAGGAUUCUUCCUGGCAGGCUCCUGAAGAAGCACAGUCCUGCCCAUACUGUGACUCUGGACUCCACAGAACCAUGAGAAUAAAUUGACCUCGUUCUAACCCACCCACUUUUGCGGUACAUUGCUACAGCAUCCUCAGGAAACUAACACAUUCCUCUCUUCCCAUUAUUUCUGUAUUUUAGGGCCCAGAUAACUGGAUUGUAAACUAGGCUAAAAUUUCACACACACACACACACAGCUACAUGUAUGAAUCUGUUCCUGUGUGUACAGAACACUGUUCUCUUCUACUACAGAUUACAAGACUCUGAAACAGUACCUCCAGGGGUUACUGAGUAGCUCACGUCUAUCUUAAGUCUUAUGUAUCUUACGACUGUCCGGCUGUCAUUCAGCCUGUGCUUAGAGCAUCUCUUAUCUCCUGACAUGCCCCCUUCAACUUCCGGGUGACUUGGACUUUUAACAAAAUUCUUUCUCAUAGUGACUAGGACCAAAUCCAUCUUCCUAUAACUUUUAAAAGUUGGUCCCAAUCCUAUUACCUCCUUUUCCAGCAAAAUUCCUCCUUUGCCAGUAAGCCUUACAAUAUUUGAAUGCAAUAUUACAAUCCAAUGAUUCUUCCCUUCCUGCAUUACAUAUCCACUUUCUUUUCAACCACUCUUCAUAAGAAGGUUUCAAUUUCCCUUGUCCUUUGCUGACUUCCCUUUAAAUAGGCUCCUCUAUCAUCUCUGCUCCCCAACACCCUUCUAUCCUAUCUACCCUGUUCCUCAGUGCUACACUGCCCACUGCUUAGACUUCUCUCCUCACCACUCCUCAGAUGGAAAAGAGAAAGGUCCACGUGCUUUGUCCCUCCUUAGCUGUUCUCUCAGGACCCAGGGCAUGGGAAUUUGAGAAUAAGUAAGAACUUUUGUACAGAACCCAAGUUGCUGUCGUAAGUCAAGACCCUGCUAAUUCUCCAGGUGUGUCAUUACAGGGCCAUCAAAGAGCAGUAAACCCAAAACAGUGGAUGCUGCCUGAAGGAAGAUCCUGCUGCGCUGGAACCCUUCCCUUCCCCUUUGACAAGGAUUUCAUCUGGGCCAAUGAAGGCAGGGUCCUGGGCUUGCUCUCGUUUUUUUUUUUCAUGAUAGUUUUGUGUCCAUCACCCACUACAUUUCUUCCAACACCAGGCCUCUCUACUGUCUCCCUUUUCUUGUCCUCAGUAGAAGAGUGCAGGGCAACAUAAAGUCUCACUUAGGACUCUAUAAACACAUCUGUGCCUUCAGAGGUAAAACAGAGCUUACAGACAAUAUCCUGUAAAAAGAUCAAUCGCAGGAUACCAAGCAGGAUUGUGCUAUAAUAAAGCCAUGGAAUUUGGGGUCCACAGUCCUUCAAGAUUCUGCUACUUAGUGUGUGGCCUUGGUCUAGUCACUUAAUUUCUGAGGUUCAAGUUUUCAUCUACUAAAAGCUCUUCAUUCAACAAUCAAGCAUCUACCUGGCACAAUACACUGAAGAAUCCAUUCAAGGAUUCCAAUUUCUCAGCAUUUUAGGUUUGUGAACAGAUUAGUAACUAACUGACACAGAUGAAAGAAUAACAGAAAUGCCAAGUGUUUGGGAUUACAAAUAAAUAACAGCAUCUCAGCAGGUGCAUCUUUUGCUGCCCUCGUCUGCGAAUAUCACACUCCAGUGUCCGCAGCCUUCCCACGCAGACUCACAGCAGCAACUCCCCCUGAGCUGCAGUGCCAAGCCUUCCAACUUCAGACCGGCACUGCUCCUUGAUCCCUCCUGCUCCAUGCCUUCCAGUUCUGCAAUUGAGAAGCUGCUGGACCUCCUGCAUCACCAAAGGCACUGUGAACAAGUCCACCUCUAAUCCACACACACCUACCUAAUAAGUCCCCUUGCCUAAUUAUAGAUUGCAAUUUUACAUUGACUCUGGUCCUCUAGAGAACCCUGAGCAUUUUUUGUUUGGGUGUGGUACUAGGGACUGACCCCAGAGCCUCUGCAGUGACCUACAUCCCCCAGCCUUUUAUUUAUUUUUUUGUUUUUUUGUUUUGUUUUUGUACCAGAAGCAAACUC